AAUAUUGCGAAAUGGAGGGAACUCUGACGCAGCGACGCCGCGUGAGCGAUGAAGGUCAUAGGAACGUAAAGCUCUGUCCUUGGAGAAAAAGGGAGCCGUAAGUCUUCUUGACGGUACCCAUGGAGGAAGCCCCGGCUAACUACGUGCCAGCAGCCGCGGUAAUACGUAGGUGGCAAGCGUUGUCCGGAUUUAUUGGGCGUAAAGCGCGCGCAGGCGGUCCUUUAAGUCUGAUGUGAAAGCCCACGGCUCAACCGUGGAGGGUCAUUGGAAACUGGAGGACUUGAGUACAGAAGAGGAAAGCGGAAUUCCACGUGUAGCGGUGAAAUGCGUAGAGAUGUGGAGGAACACCAGUGGCGAAGGCGGCUUUCUGGUCUGUAACUGACGCUGAGGUGCGAAAGCGUGGGUAGCAAACA
This 413-nucleotide ribosomal RNA is filed under the name uncultured bacterium. Its description in RNAcentral is "partial 16S ribosomal RNA". It matches the Rfam family "Bacterial small subunit ribosomal RNA", at positions 360 to 774 of the family's 1533-position model. The record is from RNAcentral.